GACGAACGCUGGCGGCGUGCUUAACACAUGCAAGUCGUGGGCACCAGCAAUGGUGACCGGCGAACGGGUGCGUAACACGUGAGCGACCUACCGAUUUGUGGGGGAUAGCCGGCCCAACGGCCGGGUAAUACCGCAUACGCCGAGCUUGCCGCAUGGCUUGCUCGGGAAACCUCCGGGGCAAAUCGAGGGGCUCGCGGCCUAUCAGCUAGUUGGCGAGGUAAUGGCUCACCAAGGCGACGACGGGUAGCUGGUCUGAGAGGAUGGCCAGCCACAUUGGGACUGAGAAACGGCCCAGACUCCUACGGGAGGCAGCAGUGGGGAAUCUUGCGCAAUGGCCGAAAGGCUGACGCAGCGACGCCGCGUGUGGGAUGAAGCUCUUCGGGGUGUAAA
RNAcentral lists this ribosomal RNA (390 nucleotides) under uncultured bacterium. Its description in RNAcentral is "bacterial SSU rRNA". It matches the Rfam family "Bacterial small subunit ribosomal RNA", at positions 28 to 429 of the family's 1533-position model. The record is from RNAcentral.